CGGGCGCCUCCGCAAUGGGGCUGGAGCCGAGAGGUUCCGUUUGGUGGCUUUAAAAUUCUGCUCAGCGCCCAACUUCAAAAAACAGUCAAUGACCCAUCCUUAGUCAUCAGUAAUUAAUAUCUCGACUGGGAUGAGGUGGUUAUCUGCAAGGAGCCUUGCACUUUGGAGACCUCUCCUCAUACCCGGAGCUAUUCUGUCCAGUAAUUCUCUCAGUAACAGGAAGGAAUUUGGAAGUUCAAAUGAGAACACAGCACCCCAUUUGGAAUCAGCUGUCUCUCCAAGAAGUCCUCGGAAAUGGUAUUCAGAGGGAAAUGAUAUAAAGAAAUCACAAUCUGGGCUUCUAGUUGUGCUCAUUGCUUCUCAGUCCACAUUUCUGAGCUUUUCCAAUGAAAGACAUUUUUAGAGUCAAAAUACAUCAUGAGUUUGCAUUGAUACUCUCAGUUCAAAAUCAUGAUUCCAGGCAUCAGCAACCAAAAACAAGGAAAUUACCAAAAAAGACUAGAAUUAAACAAACAACAACAAAAACCACAGGAUUAUGUCGAAAGAACUCAGAAGCCAACUUCAAGAAGUUUUCUUGUGUCAAAGAUGGCACAAUUAGAGCUCUAAAGGGAUAAUAACUAUAAGGUAUUAAAACAAAAUAUGUUUAAAUGUAGAUGUUGAUAUGAUAUUGAUGAUGAUUUUUUUUAAUUUUUUUACGAUUGUCACACAUACAGAGAGAGAGAGAGAGAGAGAGAGGCAGAGACACAGGCAGAGGGAGAAGCAGGCUCCAUGCACCGGGAGCCCGACAUGGGAUUUGAUCCCGGGUCUCCAGGAUCGCGCCCUGAGCCAAAAGCAGGCACUAAACCGCUGCACCACCCAGGGAUCCCAAUAUUGAUGAUGAUUAAAAGAGAAUUCAUUGUUAUCCUUGGAGGAUGCUAAGGAACCAACUCAUUUUGAAAAUAUAAACAAAAGGAAAAAAUUAAACAUUUACCCUGCUUUCUCUGCAUUAUCUGUAAGUCAGAUAAUGAAAAAAUUGAUGAGGGGACCCCUGGGUGGCACAGUUUUCAGCUCAGGUCAUGAUCUCAGGGUUUUGAGAUCAAGCCCCAUGUCCGGCUCUGUGCUGAGCACAGUCACUUGAGAUUCUCUCUCCCUCUCCCUCUGCCCCUCCUGCUUGUGCUCUCAUUUUCUCUCUCUCAAAUAAAUAAAUAAAUCUUUUUUUAAAAAAUGGAUAA
Molecule: long non-coding RNA, 1211 nt
Filed under: Canis lupus dingo (dingo)
Lineage: Eukaryota; Metazoa; Chordata; Mammalia; Carnivora; Canidae
Description: lncRNA (ENSCAFG00020010036.1)
Source: RNAcentral